RNAcentral lists this ribosomal RNA (343 nucleotides) under uncultured soil bacterium. Its description in RNAcentral is "bacterial SSU rRNA". It matches the Rfam family "Bacterial small subunit ribosomal RNA", at positions 26 to 371 of the family's 1533-position model. The record is from RNAcentral.
AGAUUGAACGCUGGCGGCAUGCCUUACACAUGCAAGUCGAACGGCAGCACGGGAGCAAUCCUGGUGGCGAGUGGCGAACGGGUGAGUAAUAUAUCGGAACGUGCCCAGUCGUGGGGGAUAACGCAGCGAAAGCUGUGCUAAUACCGCAUACGAUCUAUGGAUGAAAGCGGGGGAUCGCAAGACCUCGCGCGAUUGGAGCGGCCGAUAUCAGAUUAGCUAGUUGGUGGGGUAAAAGCCUACCAAGGCGACGAUCUGUAGCUGGUCUGAGAGGACGACCAGCCACACUGGAACUGAGACACGGUCCAGACUCCUACGGGAGGCAGCAGUGGGGAAUUUUGGACAA